This 287-nucleotide long non-coding RNA is filed under the name Fukomys damarensis (Damara mole-rat). Its description in RNAcentral is "lncRNA (ENSFDAG00000030679.1)". The record is from RNAcentral. Lineage: Eukaryota; Metazoa; Chordata; Mammalia; Rodentia; Bathyergidae.
ACUGAUGUUACAUUUGCUAGCAGGGAACAAUUGACCAUCCUAGGAACUGUACACAGGAACAGUACAGAAGUUCCAAACGAAAUGUAGCAGUUACAGUCUUUGGAUUUCAGAAAGAUAUAACAUUGGCCUCCUAUAUGACAAAGAAAAACAAAGUGGUCCUGCUGAUGACCACAUUGCACCAUGAUGGAAAUAGUGAUGGGGAAACCUGGACAAAACAGAAGCCUGAGAUGGAAAAUUUCUACAACAAAACCCAAGCUGAUUUUUCUGGUUUGAGGCCCCAAAAAUAA